UACGUAGGGCGCAAGCGUUAUCCGGAAUUAUUGGGCGUAAAGAGCGUGUAGGCGGCCAAGCAGGUCAGCUGUGAAAACUCGAGGCUCAACCUCGAGACGUCGGUUGAAGCUGCUUGGCUAGAGUCCGGAAGAGGAGAGUGGAAUUCCCGGUGUAGCGGUGAAAUGCGCAGAUAUCGGGAAGAACACCCGUGGCGAAGGCGGCUCUCUGGGACGGUACUGACGCUGAGACGCGAAAGCGUGGGGAGCGAACAGG
This 253-nucleotide ribosomal RNA is filed under the name uncultured bacterium. Its description in RNAcentral is "partial 16S ribosomal RNA". It matches the Rfam family "Bacterial small subunit ribosomal RNA", at positions 524 to 776 of the family's 1533-position model. The record is from RNAcentral.